GAUGAACGCUGGCGGCGUGCCUAAUACAUGCAAGUCGAGCGAACAGACGAGGAGCUUGCUCCUCUGACGUUAGCGGCGGACGGGUGAGUAACACGUGGAUAACCUACCUAUAAGACUGGGAUAACUUCGGGAAACCGGAGCUAAUACCGGAUGAUAUAUUGAACCGCAUGGUUCAAUAGUGAAAGACGGUUUUGCUGUCACUUAUAGAUGGAUCCGCGCCGCAUUAGCUAGUUGGUAAGGUAACGGCUUACCAAGGCAACGAUGCGUAGCCGACCUGAGAGGGUGAUCGGCCACACUGGAACGGAGACACGGUCCAGACUCCUACGGGAGGCAGCAGUAGGGAAUCUUCCGCAAUGGGCGAAAGCCUGACGGAGCAACGCCGCGUGAGUGAUGAAGGUCUUCGGAUCGUAAAACUCUGUUAUUAGGGAAGAACAAAUGUGUAAGUAACUAUGCACGUCUUGACGGUACCUAAUCAGAAAGCCACGGCUAACUACGUG
Molecule: ribosomal RNA, 497 nt
Filed under: uncultured bacterium
Lineage: Bacteria
Description: partial 16S ribosomal RNA
Rfam family: Bacterial small subunit ribosomal RNA
Source: RNAcentral